AGGCCCUGGACGACGGCGGGGGCGUCGGGUGCCUCGGACACCCGGGCCUCGAACAGCGCGGGCAGAGUGAGCGGUUCGGGCCCGGGGCGGCCCGC
Molecule: transfer RNA, 95 nt
Filed under: Streptomyces acidiscabies
Lineage: Bacteria; Bacillati; Actinomycetota; Actinomycetes; Kitasatosporales; Streptomycetaceae
Description: tRNA-Arg
Source: RNAcentral